Molecule: ribosomal RNA, 253 nt
Filed under: uncultured bacterium
Lineage: Bacteria
Description: partial 16S ribosomal RNA
Rfam family: Bacterial small subunit ribosomal RNA
Source: RNAcentral
UACGGAGGGUGCGAGCGUCGUCCGGAAUCACUGGGCGUAAAGGGCGCGUAGGUGGCGCGGGUAGUCGUCGGUGAAAGCUCAGGGCUCAACCCUGAGUCGGCCGGUGAUACUCCCGUACUCGAGUGUGGUAGAGGCCAAUGGAAUUCCGGGUGUAGCGGUGGAAUGCGUAGAGAUCCGGAAGAACACCGGUGGCGAAGGCGGUUGGCUGGGCCACAACUGACACUGAUGCGCGACAGCGUGGGGAGCAAACAGG